AAGAGAGAGAAGAGAGAGAGAGAGAGAGAGAGAGAGA
RNAcentral lists this small RNA (37 nucleotides) under Arabidopsis thaliana (thale cress). Its description in RNAcentral is "ATSL026040". Lineage: Eukaryota; Viridiplantae; Streptophyta; Magnoliopsida; Brassicales; Brassicaceae. The record is from RNAcentral.